UUUUUUUUUUUUUUUUUAGAUCAGAAUUCCAGGAAUAUAGCUUUGUGCUAUCUUAAAUGAUGCAAUGGAAAAAGCAGUUCUUGGGAGCCAGAGAUCUUGGGCUCCAACACAGCCUGUGCCCUUCACCAGCUGAGUGACCUUGGGCAAGUCACUUAAUUUCUCUGGACCUAUUUCUUCAUCAGUAACUUGAGGAUUUUGUUCUCAAUUAUUCUAACCUCCUUUGCAGCUCUAAACAUAGGAAUGUUGUGGAGAAAAUGACUGAUACUCUUUAAUGGGUCAGUUGCAAUGAGGAUUCUGAAGAAGAAGUUGUUGACAGGGUCAUCAUAAAGCAUUAGAAUAGCCUGUUCUGUCCAUUUCUAACCUUUGGAUCAGACAUUCUUUACGGCCAGACCAGGGCCUGGAAGGAAAACAUCGUUUGAUUCGGGCCUGACAUUAACCUUUCUUGCUUCAAAGGGGCGUUUUCAAGUUUUAACAGACCCCAAGACAAACCCUCCUGACUAACCAGCCUAAGUUUUUGGAACCAUCUCUAGAGUGGAUUAUGCUCCUCUUCCUUCCACCUUUUUAAAAAUAAAAUGUGUGUGGGAAGGCAAGGCACCUGCUAGCUCCUACAUCCUAAGGUCAGCUCUCAGAAACAUCCCACCCCUCCCCACAGUAUAGAUUAAGCUUUAACCAGUGCACACUGCGGAAAUUAACACAUGCAUCCUGUUGGAAAUCACCUCUUUUCCAGGGGUGGUGUGUUUGUGGAUAAUGUUUCGCAUUUGUGCCAUCAGUGUUCUUCAGUGAGAUAACCAUUUAAGUGAAUGGAAAGGAAAUUUGAGAAGCCAAUUGGGGACUAUAGGAGGUCUUCCAAAAUUUUUUGUUUAGCUUUAUUUUUCUCGCUUAGGUGUAUGAAACAACUCAAUAUUUCUCUUGCUGGCAAAAUUAGUGUUGUCCAGAUUUUUUUUGUGCUUUAAGAUUUUUGAUUAGUUGAGCCAACACUGCUCUUCCAACCCUGUGUUAUCUUGGCUGUUGAGUUGCCAGUAUAUUCAGUAUAUUCAGAAGCUCCUGCCUUUUUUGUCCCUCCAUGUGGAUUUCACAAGUCAUUAAAAUAGUCUGUUGCCUCUUAAGAAACUCCAUGGACUUAUUCUCUUCCAAUCCUCUCACUAUAAUCAGAUAUGUCUUAGUUGAAUAGUAUAUAAAUCGUUCCUUUUAUUUUGAUGGGUUGCUAAUUUAGUAUAUUGGAACAUUUCAUGGUUUUAAGGUUUUGUUUUGUUUUAAAGAAAGCCAUUUCCUCAAUUAUUUCCUCAUGUUACAAAGUUACUGGAAAUUGUAUUCAAGGAAAAUAGCUUCUUGUGAAUCAUGCUUGAAGCCAGUUUCACACUAAAGAUCCUGUAACUUUUUUUCAUACUAGUAUUUUUUUGUAUGUAAAAUAAUAGAUCCUGCCUCUACCACAUUUAUAAUUAUGUAACUGAUUUAUUCUUUUGUUACCUUAUUAGUCCAUAACUAUGCAGCAGACUUUGAAAGUUCUUUUUAAAAUGUUGUUGAAACAUGUUCAGAAAGUAUAAUCAUAUUGAAUUUUAACUUAAAAUUACAUUUAAAUAUUAGUAUGAUAUAAUUGUAUACUAAUUUCAUAGUAUGACGUAGUUACUAAAAUUUAUUGUAAAGCUUUUUAAGAUGAUAGAUUAGUAAGUAUCAUCUAUUUGCUUCUAUUUUCGUCUUACACCUUGGAAAUGGUAGUAUCUCUCCCAUUCUUAAUUCACUGAAAAAGGGAGAAGAUGGAUUAGAUAAGUAUAAGGUACUGUCAUGUGUGAUAAAAGGAACACUUUUCAUUUUAAUAGUAGUCUU
Long non-coding RNA from Macaca fascicularis (crab-eating macaque), 1824 nucleotides. The record is from Ensembl. NCBI's taxonomy places the organism in Eukaryota, Metazoa, Chordata, Mammalia, Primates, Cercopithecidae.